GCGGGUGCACCGCCGACCGACC
Molecule: small nuclear RNA, 22 nt
Filed under: Arabidopsis thaliana (thale cress)
Lineage: Eukaryota; Viridiplantae; Streptophyta; Magnoliopsida; Brassicales; Brassicaceae
Description: snRNA_18665
Source: RNAcentral